This 403-nucleotide ribosomal RNA is filed under the name uncultured bacterium. RNAcentral's name for it is "partial 16S ribosomal RNA". It matches the Rfam family "Bacterial small subunit ribosomal RNA", at positions 30 to 526 of the family's 1533-position model. The record is from RNAcentral.
AUUGAACGCUGGCGGCAGGCCUAACACAUGCAAGUCGAGCGAGCGGCGGACGGGUGAGUGAUGUGUGGGGACUGCCCGAUAGAGGGGGAUAACUACUGGAAACGGUGGCUAAUACCGCAUACUAUAGGAUAACCCAUAUGGGAUUAGCUAGUAGUUGGGGUAAUGGCUCACACAGGCGACGAUCCCUAGCUGGUCUGAGAGGAUGAUCAGCCACACUGGGACUGAGACACGGCCCAGACUCCGACGGAGGCAGCAGUGGGGAAUAUUGCACAAUGGGCGCAAGCCUGAUGCAGCCAUGCCGCGUGUAUGAAGAAGGCCUUAGGGUUGUAAAGUACUUUCAGUCGGGAGGCGUUACCGACAGAAGAAGCACCGGCUAACUCCGUGCCAGCCGCCGCGGUAAUAC